UAUUGCACAAUGGGGGAAACCCUGAUGCAGCGACGCCGCGUGAGCGAAGAAGUAUCUCGGUAUGUAAAGCUCUAUCAGCAGGGAAGAAAAAUGACGGUACCUGACUAAGAAGCCCCGGCUAACUACCUGCCAGCAGCCGCGGUAAUACGUAGGGGGCAAGCGUUAUCCGGAUUUACUGGGUGUAAAGGGAGCACAGGCGGCGCGGCAAGUCUGAUGUGAAAGCCCGGGGCUCAACCCCGGGACUGCAUUGGAAACUGUCGCGCUCGAGUGUCGGAGAGGUAAGUGGAAUUCCUAGUGUAGCGGUGAAAUGCGUAGAUACUAGGAGGAACACCAGUGGCGAAGGCGGCUUACUGGACGACAACUGACGCUGAGGCUCGAAAGCGUGGGGAGCAAACAGG
Molecule: ribosomal RNA, 398 nt
Filed under: uncultured bacterium
Lineage: Bacteria
Description: bacterial SSU rRNA
Rfam family: Bacterial small subunit ribosomal RNA
Source: RNAcentral